This is a long non-coding RNA of Suricata suricatta (meerkat), 205 nucleotides long. RefSeq lists it as uncharacterized. Lineage: Eukaryota; Metazoa; Chordata; Mammalia; Carnivora; Herpestidae. The transcript has 3 exons. The record is from RefSeq and is a predicted model, not a curated record.
CCUUGGACAGGAUAAUUUUGAGGCCACAUUUCCCAGGAUUUUCUGAUGAGUUUAAGCUCCUCUAGCCCUCUACGCUCCUGGCAAUCACCAUUCUAUUCUCUGCUUCUAUGAGUCUGCUUUAGCUUCAUCAUGCUUUGGAUUUACUGUGAAGUACCACAGAGCAGAAAACAAGAACAAAGUGCUUCCUUGGAGUAAAAUUUCUAAG